RNAcentral lists this transfer RNA (71 nucleotides) under bovine gut metagenome. It matches the Rfam family "tRNA". From Rfam's summary of the family: Transfer RNA (tRNA) molecules are approximately 80 nucleotides in length. Their secondary structure includes four short double-helical elements and three loops (D, anti-codon, and T loops). RNAcentral also lists the same sequence under 1 other name. The record is from RNAcentral.
GGGAUAUAGCUCAGCUGGGAGAGCGCUGCGUUCGCAACGCAGAGGUCACGGGUUCGAAUCCCGCUAUCUCC